UGUCUAGGGGCUCAAACCUAAAGAACCCAAAUAUCUAAACGGAGAAAUUCAAUAUUACCGUUAAAGUAAUGUGCACUUUUCUCUUAGUAAGACGCCGUGAUCCAUUAGAAAUUGGUAUACGCCAGUAUACAGUAGGUCAUCAAUAGGCCAGUGUGAAGUUUAUUGGAACAAAUGGCAUGGCCUUUCACGGUUGUGUGUAUUGUCUGGUAAGCGCAUUGAUGACUGUCUGAUGGAUUUUAGAGACUGUGUCCGAUCAACGGCGGUUAAAUUUGGGAUACCUUUUGGACCCGUCUUGAAACACGGACCAAGGAGUCUAUCUAGUAUGCGAGUAAAUGGAUAAUUUUGAAAUCUAUUUGCAUAAUAAACUUGACUGUUUAUGGGACUACGAUUAAUAACUUUGCGGUUAUUUUUCUUCCAUCCCGGGGUAUUUUCAUCUAUAUGGAAAAUAUACCAUGAGCACACUGGAUACGACCCGAAAGAUGGUGAACUAUGCCUGAUCAGGUCGAAGUCAGGGGAAACCCUGAUGGAGGACCGAAGCAGUUCUGACGUGCAAAUCGAUUGUCAGAAUUGGGCAUAGGGGCGAAAGACCAAUCGAACCAUC
Molecule: ribosomal RNA, 601 nt
Filed under: Polypedilum johannseni
Lineage: Eukaryota; Metazoa; Arthropoda; Insecta; Diptera; Chironomidae
Description: partial 28S ribosomal RNA
Rfam family: Eukaryotic large subunit ribosomal RNA
Source: RNAcentral